UUCUGCCACCGAAUACAUUAGCAUGGGAUAAUGGAAUAGGACCCUGUCCUCCUAUUUUCAGUUGGUUUUGGCAGCGCGAGGACUAGGGUAAUGAUUAAUAGGGAUAGUUGGGGGCAUUAAUAUUUAAUUGUCAGAGGUGAAAUUCUUGGAUUUAUGAAAGAUUAACUUCUGCGAAAGCAUCUGCCAAGGAUGUUUUCAUUAAUCAAGAACGAAAGUUAGGGGAUCGAAGACGAUCAGAUACCGUCGUAGUCUUAACCAUAAACGAUGCCGACCAGCGAUUAGGAGACGUUGAAUACAAAACACCACCAUCGGCGCGGUCGUCCUUGGCGUCUCGGUCCUUCACGGGGCCGGGGCGCGGGGGCGGCUUAGCCCGGUGGCACCGGUGAAUGACUCCCUAGCAGCUUGUGAGA
RNAcentral lists this ribosomal RNA (410 nucleotides) under Acanthamoeba genotype T4. RNAcentral's name for it is "SSU rRNA". It matches the Rfam family "Eukaryotic small subunit ribosomal RNA", at positions 787 to 1095 of the family's 1831-position model. The record is from RNAcentral. Lineage: Eukaryota; Discosea; Longamoebia; Acanthamoebidae.